This 604-nucleotide ribosomal RNA is filed under the name Shigella sonnei. RNAcentral describes it as "partial 23S ribosomal RNA". It matches the Rfam family "Bacterial large subunit ribosomal RNA", at positions 311 to 920 of the family's 2925-position model. Lineage: Bacteria; Pseudomonadati; Pseudomonadota; Gammaproteobacteria; Enterobacterales; Enterobacteriaceae. The record is from RNAcentral.
CCUGAAUCAGUGUGUGUGUUAGUGGAAGCGUCUGGAAAGGCGUGCGAUACAGGGUGACAGCCCCGUACACAAAAAUGCACAUAUUGUGAGCUUGAUGAGUAGGGCGGGACACGUGGUAUCCUGUCUGAAUAUGGGGGGACCAUCCUCCAAGGCUAAAUACUCCUGACUGACCGAUAGUGAACCAGUACCGUGAGGGAAAGGCGAAAAGAACCCCGGCGAGGGGAGUGAAAAAGAACCUGAAACCGUGUACGUACAAGCAGUGGGAGCACGCUUAGGCGUGUGACUGCGUACCUUUUGUAUAAUGGGUCAGCGACUUAUAUUCUGUAGCAAGGUUAACCGAAUAGGGGAGCCGAAGGGAAACCGAGUCUUAACUGGGCGUUAAGUUGCAGGGUAUAGACCCGAAACCCGGUGAUCUAGCCAUGGGCAGGUUGAAGGUUGGGUAACACUAACUGGAGGACCGAACCGACUAAUGUUGAAAAAUUAGCGGAUGACUUGUGGCUGGGGGUGAAAGGCCAAUCAAACCGGGAGAUAGCUGGUUCUCCCCGAAAGCUAUUUAGGUAGCGCCUCGUGAAUUCAUCUCCGGGGGUAGAGCACUGUUUCGGCA